GAUGAACGCUAGCGGCAGGCUUAACACAUGCAAGUCGAGGGGUAUAGGUUUUCGGAUCUAGAGACCGGCGCACGGGUGCGUAACGCGUAUGCAAUCUACCUUUUACAGAGGGAUAGCCCAGAGAAAUUUGGAUUAAUACCUCAUAGUAUUACGACUCGGCAUCGAGAUGUAAUUAAAGUCACAACGGUAAAAGAUGAGCAUGCGUCCCAUUAGCUUGUUGGUAAGGUAACGGCUUACCAAGGCAACGAUGGGUAGGGGUCCUGAGAGGGAGAUCCCCCACACUGGUACUGAGACACGGACCAGACACCUACGGGUGGCUG
This 320-nucleotide ribosomal RNA is filed under the name uncultured Bacteroidota bacterium. Its description in RNAcentral is "bacterial SSU rRNA". It matches the Rfam family "Bacterial small subunit ribosomal RNA", at positions 28 to 351 of the family's 1533-position model. Lineage: Bacteria; Pseudomonadati; Bacteroidota. The record is from RNAcentral.